GACGAACGCUGGCGGCGUGCUUAACACAUGCAAGUCGAACGGAAAGGCCCUGCUUUUGUGGGGUGCCCGAGUGGCGAACGGGUGAGUAACAAGUGAGUAACCUGCCCUUGACUUUGGGAUAACUUCAGGAAACUGGGGCUAAUACCGGAUAGGAGCUCCUGCUGCAUGGUGGGGGUUGGAAAGUUUCGGCGGUUGGGGAUGGACUCGCGGCUUAUCAGCUUGUUGGUGGGGUAGUGGCUUACCAAGGCUUUGACGGGUAGCCGGCCUGAGAGGGUGACCGGCCACAUUGGGACUGAGAUACGGCCCAGACUCCUACGGGAGGCAGCAGUGGGGAAUAUUGCACAAUGGGCGGAAGCCUGAUGCAGCAACGCCGCGUGCGGGAUGACGGCCUUCGGGUUGUAAACCGCUUUCGCCUGUGACGAAGCGUGAGUGACGGUAAUGGGUAAAGAAGCACCGGCUAACUACGUG
Molecule: ribosomal RNA, 468 nt
Filed under: uncultured bacterium
Lineage: Bacteria
Description: partial 16S ribosomal RNA
Rfam family: Bacterial small subunit ribosomal RNA
Source: RNAcentral